UUGUAAAAAAAUAAUUCAGAAACAAUUUUAAUGGAGAGAGCUGUCUCUCUUGUGCUCUCUUGUGAGAAACUUUAGAUGAGAUGAGAGACGUGUACGUGUCACGUUUUAAUUGGGCGUUUUAUUUGACAAAACUGAAAAGAAAAAAAAUGCGUCGAAAAAAACCUUCGUUUUCUCUCGAUACGCUCUCUCUUUCUUUCUCUCUAGCGAAACAAAAUCAAACGAUGGCGAAGGUGACGGCGACGGAGCCGGAAUUUUGCUCCGAAGAUUGAGGUUCAAUUGAAGCAGUCGAUAUCAAGGUCGAGCAGUGGUUGGGCCGAUUUCGUCAUUUGCAGAGCCGGUGGUCACGAUCGCCGGUGAAAGAUGAAUCAAAUCAGAGAAUCAAUGACGAAGCUCGUAAUUGGGUUCAUAGUUUCUGAAUCUCAAUCUCUCUUGCUUCUCCGGUGCUCUCUUCUUCCACAUGGAUUUAUGUUCUCUCUCGCCAGGAAUCUCUGCUUCAGUUUAUUCUCAACACAUAAGGAACCGGGUACUUGAGUGGCUGUUUUGCUUUGAUGGUUGGAGCUGAGGGAUGCAUUGUUGUUUUCAUGUGUAAUGAUGCUUGGGAUGAGUUUGAGGACCAAUAAACAGAGAAAAACACAUAGGGUGGACCUGAGAUUCUCCAAAACGUGAAGAGGGUGAAUGAUUUGCAGUCUGCAUAUUUUUGAAUGAUUGUACACCCUCCUUUUCUCUAUAUAUACAACACUUCUUCUUGUUAUUGUUAUAUCAAAACACAACAUUUCUUGUAGAUCUAUCUUGUAUAGGCUAAGUAGGAGACAAGACACUCAAAUCAAAAUAUGUGUAGAUCAUGAAUCUUUCAUUUGCAGUUGACAAGUUUUUGAUGUGA
This is a long non-coding RNA of Arabidopsis lyrata subsp. lyrata, 880 nucleotides long. RefSeq lists it as uncharacterized. Lineage: Eukaryota; Viridiplantae; Streptophyta; Magnoliopsida; Brassicales; Brassicaceae. The transcript is spliced from 4 exons. The record is from RefSeq and is a predicted model, not a curated record.